This is a long non-coding RNA of Centropristis striata (black sea bass), 165 nucleotides long. RefSeq lists it as uncharacterized. The record is from RefSeq and is a predicted model, not a curated record. NCBI's taxonomy places the organism in Eukaryota, Metazoa, Chordata, Actinopteri, Perciformes, Serranidae. The transcript is spliced from 2 exons.
CACACAUGUCGGUUGGCAGGAGGAGGACGGCAGAGACAAAGAGACAAAGGAAAAGAAGUAAACUCACUUCACAAAACGCAUUGGGAAAAGGACUCAAAUCAAAAGGGCUACCGGUUUUUCACCUUUCUUCAUUGGUCAUUGGAAAAUAAACUAAGAACGAGUGAA